UUUUUUGCAAACUUUCUUUCACUUUUCAUUUCAUUGAACUCAAAUUGAUUUCUUUUUGUGCCCAUUCCCUUUGAUAACAAAAAUGUGGUAGAACAUGGAUGAAUGAUGGAUGGAUGCAUGGUUUCAAGGGUCACCUUGGAAUAAACGGUAGCCAAGGAGUUAUCACACCACAAGGUACUCUUGACUAGGCCUUAAACCAUGGGUCAAAGGAUUCUAGCAUGACACAUCCUAGGGUGUUUUACAAGUAUUCUAACAAGCAAAGUCUUAAGAAUAAAAAACAUCUACUAGGGCCUAUAUACACUUGUCAAGCUUCCCAAGUAGACGGUUUCGCAAAUUUUUUUUAACAUGCAACUAUAUCUCAUGAUGCAACUAGCAUAUAAACAUCCUAAUGCAAGUGAUUCUACCAACUAAUAUGACAUUUAAUCUAAAUGCAAUCCUAAGUUCACAUUGUUUUAACCGCAUCACUCAAAAUAAAGCCACAAAGUCAUUAACAUAAAGAGGAAAAAUGAGAUUGGAAAGAUCAUACCAUGCGGUCUUCAAUAUCCUCAUGUCUCGGAUGUGGCGUAGUCGAUCAAUGUGAACAAGGAUGAACAAACACAAUAUAUACAAGACAAUUUAUACAAAAGG
Molecule: unclassified non-coding RNA, 627 nt
Filed under: Silene latifolia
Lineage: Eukaryota; Viridiplantae; Streptophyta; Magnoliopsida; Caryophyllales; Caryophyllaceae
Description: CCLS96.1-J4
Source: RNAcentral